UUAAGCGACUAAGCGUACACGGUGGAUGCCCUGGCAGUCAGAGGCGAUGAAGGACGUGCUAAUCUGCGAUAAGCGUCGGUAAGGUGAUAUGAACCGUUAUAACCGGCGAUUUCCGAAUGGGGAAACCCAGUGUGAUUCGUCACACUAUCAUUAACUGAAUCCAUAGGUUAAUGAGGCGAACCGGGGGAACUGAAACAUCUAAGUACCCCGAGGAAAAGAAAUCAACCGAGAUUCCCCCAGUAGCGGCGAGCGAACGGGGAGCAGCCCAGAGCCUGAAUCAGUGUGUGUGUUAGUGGAAGCGUCUGGAAAGGCGCGCGAUACAGGGUGACAGCCCCGUACACAAAAAUGCACAUACUGUGAGCUCGAUGAGUAGGGCGGGACACGUGGUAUCCUGUCUGAAUAUGGGGGGACCAUCCUCCAAGGCUAAAUACUCCUGACUGACCGAUAGUGAACCAGUACCGUGAGGGAAAGGCGAAAAGAACCCCGGCGAGGGGAGUGAAAAAGAACCUGAAACCGUGUACGUACAAGCAGUGGGAGCACAGAGCAAUCUGUGUGACUGCGUACCUUUUGUAUAAUGGGUCAGCGACUUAUAUUCUGUAGCAAGGUUAACCGAAUAGGGGAGCCGAAGGGAAACCGAGUCUUAACUGGGCGUUAAGUUGCAGGGUAUAGACCCGAAACCCGGUGAUCUAGCCAUGGGCAGGUUGAAGGUUGGGUAACACUAACUGGAGGACCGAACCGACUAAUGUUGAAAAAUUAGCGGAUGACUUGUGGCUGGGGGUGAAAGGCCAAUCAAACCGGGAGAUAGCUGGUUCUCCCCGAAAGCUAUUUAGGUAGCGCCUCGUGAAUUCAUCUCCGGGGGUAGAGCACUGUUUCGGCAAGGGGGUCAUCCCGACUUACCAACCCGAUGCAAACUGCGAAUACCGGAGAAUGUUAUCACGGGAGACACACGGCGGGUGCUAACGUCCGUCGUGAAGAGGGAAACAACCCAGACCGCCAGCUAAGGUCCCAAAGUCAUGGUUAAGUGGGAAACGAUGUGGGAAGGCCCAGACAGCCAGGAUGUUGGCUUAGAAGCAGCCAUCAUUUAAAGAAAGCGUAAUAGCUCACUGGUCGAGUCGGCCUGCGCGGAAGAUGUAACGGGGCUAAACCAUGCACCGAAGCUGCGGCAGCGACGCUUAUGCGUUGUUGGGUAGGGGAGCGUUCUGUAAGCCUGCGAAGGUGUGCUGUGAGGCAUGCUGGAGGUAUCAGAAGUGCGAAUGCUGACAUAAGUAACGAUAAAGCGGGUGAAAAGCCCGCUCGCCGGAAGACCAAGGGUUCCUGUCCAACGUUAAUCGGGGCAGGGUGAGUCGACCCCUAAGGCGAGGCCGAAAGGCGUAGUCGAUGGGAAACAGGUUAAUAUUCCUGUACUUGGUGUUACUGCGAAGGGGGGACGGAGAAGGCUAUGUUGGCCGGGCGACGGUUGUCCCGGUUUAAGCGUGUAGGCUGGUUUUCCAGGCAAAUCCGGAAAAUCAAGGCUGAGGCGUGAUGACGAGGCACUACGGUGCUGAAGCAACAAAUGCCCUGCUUCCAGGAAAAGCCUCUAAGCAUCAGGUAACAUCAAAUCGUACCCCAAACCGACACAGGUGGUCAGGUAGAGAAUACCAAGGCGCUUGAGAGAACUCGGGUGAAGGAACUAGGCAAAAUGGUGCCGUAACUUCGGGAGAAGGCACGCUGAUAUGUAGGUGAAGUCCCUCGCGGAUGGAGCUGAAAUCAGUCGAAGAUACCAGCUGGCUGCAACUGUUUAUUAAAAACACAGCACUGUGCAAACACGAAAGUGGACGUAUACGGUGUGACGCCUGCCCGGUGCCGGAAGGUUAAUUGAUGGGGUUAGCGCAAGCGAAGCUCUUGAUCGAAGCCCCGGUAAACGGCGGCCGUAACUAUAACGGUCCUAAGGUAGCGAAAUUCCUUGUCGGGUAAGUUCCGACCUGCACGAAUGGCGUAACGACUUCCCCGCUGUCUC
Molecule: ribosomal RNA, 1996 nt
Filed under: human gut metagenome
Description: bacterial LSU rRNA
Rfam family: Bacterial large subunit ribosomal RNA
Source: RNAcentral